CUACCUCAGCCUCCCAAGUACCUGGGGCUACAGGUGUGUGCCACCACACUUGGCUAAUUUUGUAUUUUUUUGUAGAGACAGGGUCUCCCUAUAUUGCCCAUACUGGUCUUGACCUCCUGGGCUCAAGCAUCCUCCUGCCUCAGCCUCCCAAAAUGCUGGGAUUACAAGUGUGAGCCACCCACCAUACCGGCCUAGGCCAUUUAGAGAAGAGGCGUAGCAUCCUAUUUGACUUACCAUUGCCUGUACUCCUUUGAAGUAUAAUAGGUUCCAUGUAGAAAAAUCUGCUGUAUAAAGACUUGAUAAUUAAAAGGGAGUUAUUGCGAAAUAUUAAUAAAAGGGGAGGGAAGUUGUUGCAGGACUCUAAGGAUUGAGUAGUCAGUACGUGAAAUGUGGCUGUUGAGUAAUGAGAUUGACUGUUCAAUGUUAUGGCCCAAUGAGAAUGUUUGCCCACCCUAUUUCUUUCUUAGCUUCUUUUUUUGUUUUUAAGAGACAGGGUCCUGCUCUGUUGCCCAGGCUGUGGUGUGAUCAUAGCACACUGUAGCCUUGAACUCCUAGGCUCAAGUGAUCCUCUCGCCUGUCUCCUGAGUAGGUAGGACUACAGGCAUGUGCCACCACACCCAACAAAUUUGUUUUGUUUUGUUUGAGGCAGGAUCUCACUUUGCUGCCUAGGCUGGAGGGCAGUGGCACCAUCAUAGCUCACUGCAGCCUUGACCUCCUGGGCUCAAGCGAUUCUCCCACCUCAGCCAUCCAAAGUGCUGGGAUUACAGGUAUGUGCCACUGUGCCCAGCUCUAAUUUUUAUUUUUCGUAGAGACAGGAUCUUGCCAUGUGGUCCUUGCUGAUCUGAACUCCUGGCUUCAAGCGAGCCUCCCACCUUAGCCUUCCAAAGUGCUGGGAUUAUAGGCGUGAGCCACCACACCCAGCCUAUAUAUUAUGUCAUUAGGAGUAAUCCUACAUCAUUCUGCUUCUCCUGCAAAUGCUCUACUUUCUUAGUUGUGAGUUAAGGCUUUCCCUGCUAGAAUGCUUGCUUUUAGUUUGUGAUUAAUUUUUGUUUCAUUAUACCAACUCCAAAACUUAAAUGAGGAAGAAUAUCCUACCACUGCAAAAUGGAGUGAGUUGGGAAAGAUGCCCUUUGUGACAUGGGAGUAAUGCCACCAGCACUGUUUUUUCUGCAUACUUUAUUUCUCCUUCCUGGUUCUUUUAGUGACCUUGUAUUUUAUCUUCAACCUUGAAUUUUCAUCUAUUUCCACUUCUUCCUUCUUCUUUUCACGUCUUUGUUCACACAUUCUCUACAGCAUUUCCCCUGUAGUGUUCCUUGUGAACAUAGGCCUAAGCUAAAAUCUAUCUUGCUUGAAAAUUUAUUUAUUUAUUUAUUUUUCUUGAGGUGGGGUCU
Molecule: long non-coding RNA, 1391 nt
Filed under: Homo sapiens (human)
Lineage: Eukaryota; Metazoa; Chordata; Mammalia; Primates; Hominidae
Description: HSALNT0188977
Source: RNAcentral